GACAACGCUAUUUAUUAACAAAUAAUAACAGCGCUAAAGAGCUUUGACUUCACUCAAAAACAUAAUAGAACACACUUCAUAAGACAAUACACAAUUCUACAAUAUGCAAGGAGGGUAUAAUACAAAGUACAUACUCUUUUUUCAGUUUUCAUUGCUUCUUUUUCUAAUCUAAUAACUAUUCUAGAUAUAUUAUAUGCUUAACUUUUUACCUGAUCCCAAAUUUAUGUCAUUUAGUUCAAAAUGUAUUAUAAUGUUAUGUAAUGUACACAAGACAUAGGUCUACCAGAUAUCAAUAUAAAAUUGUAUCUAAUAUAUUUGAUGAAAUACAUAGAUUCAGCAUUUACCAGUUAUACUAGUUAUGCUGCUACAUAAAUUAUAUUUAUUACAUCAUUUUUCAAGACUGAUUUCACUUCUCCUUUACUCAAUUAUCGAUUUUUUUAAAAAUAUUUUAGAACCAGAUGCUCCGCAGGGCUCAGCUUUAUACGACCGCAGAGGUUGAACCCUAAACGGUUGGGGCAAGUAUGGGCACAACAUUCAAGCUGGAUUCAGCUCUAAAUUUGGAUUGUGAUUAAAUAGUUGACACAGCAUAGGUUUCUGACACAGAAUGAAUGUGGUCUAAUGAACUUAAAAUAUUUUUUUGCCUUUGAGCAAUUCACUAUGUUGUUAAAUAUUAAUCCUCUCAAAAAAAUGUUUGAAGAAAUUUUCUUUUUAUUUAUGAAAUCUGAAAUGAGAAAAAUUUACCCCCCCCCCCCCUUUUUUUUUACAUCCUUUCCCUUUUUCCAAAAAUGAUCUCAAUUCAAAUUUCUAAUGGAGUUUGCAACAAUAACUAAUCAUUUAAAUACAUCACAAAAUAUUAAAAUGUAAAAUAAAGUGCUUGUUA
Molecule: long non-coding RNA, 880 nt
Filed under: Mytilus galloprovincialis (Mediterranean mussel)
Lineage: Eukaryota; Metazoa; Mollusca; Bivalvia; Mytilida; Mytilidae
Source: RNAcentral